AGGUAAGCACCGUUGCCACUGAUAGACAUAGAGAGCCACAGAGGACUUCUUCUAUCAGCGCCCGGGGUCUCUCGGUUGCUGGCCCAGGGAUCCACCCCCAUUUCCUGAGCAUGGCUGCUGACGAAGUUUGUCAUCUACAUGAGGAUGGUGGAGGGCACCACAGGAGGAGAAACAGCCUGCAGAGCUGGACCGUGGCAUACUUGGCCCACAGCAGAGAAGAGGAAGAGGACACACCUGCAGACCCCUCUGAAGUGAGGAGAGAAUCCUCUUGGUCCUCCAACCUUCUCAGGGUAGACCUUGACCUUUCCCAUCAAGGUGCGUGACCACCUGCCCUUCACCUGCGGGGCAGCCGUCCAGACAGGCUCCUUAGCCCUCUGCUGACUGAGUCCCUCCAGCCCAGCCUGGCUCGUGCAGUCGGGCAGAAGCAGAGGUACAACUUGGGUUCUUGAGUCAUCUGACAUGCAUUGAAUUCUGCCCUGCCGUCACGUUGCAGAUUCAUUCAAAGUGAAGCUGAGGUUUUCCACAGUGAAAUGUCUGACGAGAGAGCAGCACCCUCCUCCAUGACUUCUUCGGUCCAGCAGACAUGCCCACCACCGUCCUCAUGUCAUCCACGCAAACAGUGAUGUGGUAAAGAAGGAGAAAGGGCAAGCACAUUUUAGCAUCGUUUUCAAAAUGAUUCUGACCUUGCAGGCCUUCCCCAAAGGGUCUCAGGGACCGUGAGACCACCAGGUUUCGUCACAGUGACUUAACAGUGCCGGGCUUGGCAUGGCGUCCCUGGUACCCAGCACAAAGUCAGACCUCAAUUCAUAUUUAUGGAGUAUUUGUUCCUGGCUCAGGAAGACGCUCCCGUGGCAAUGACGCUGCCCCAGGUGGCCGUGGGACCUCAGCAGAGCUGUAAGUUAGCGUUUUCCACGCCCCUCACCCCCCACAUCUGCGGGUUCCCUGGGUCCUGCUGGUGGAGACGGGGGUUCUGGCACCAGGUCUCUGUCAGCCGUCCAAGUGUCUCUCCUUUGCCCUGGGCCAGUACACUAGCCAGCGUCGAGUGCAGGCCCUUCCAUGGGCCCUCGGAGACUCUGGGAGAGUCUCUCUGCUACUUCCUUCCAGGUAUUUUUGCCAACACAAGUCAGAUGGCCACGCCCCAGGUCAGGGGGCUGGGAGGCCCACAUGGCCACUAUGAGCUCCCAGCAGAGAUGUGGAUGCAGGGAUGUGGGGGUGUAGGGUUGAGGCCACCUGCUCACAGGGGGACCAGAGUCUUCCUGCUGUGAGAACUGAAAAUCCCACAUCCCCUCUGUCCCUGGCAAAUUGGAAUCAUUGGUGCUGUAGCUUGGAUCUUAAGUGACCCCAAAAGCCUAUGUGGUAGAGGCUUGGCCUCCAUUGUGGCAUCAGAAGGUGGUGGGUCCUUUAAAAGGCGGGGCCUAGUGAGAGAUCUUCAGGCUGUUGGGUGAGCCCUGGAAGAGAGCAGUGGGACCCCAGUCCCUUCCUCUUCUCUUUUCUCAUUUUGGCCAUGAGAUGAGGGUCUGCCCUGCCAUCUGAGCUUGACAUGAUGUGCUGCCUCACCAUAGGCUCAAAGCAGCAGUCAGUAGGCCACAGCCUGGAACCUCCAAAACUGUGAGCCGAGAUGAACCUUUUAUCAUUGUAAAUUGAUUGUCUCAGGUGUUUUGUUGUAGUGACAAAAUACUGUUUAACACAAGUGAUCAUCUUAACCAGUCUGCAGUACACUUCAAUUUGUAAGCAAGUAGAGAAUGUUAUACUAUAGGAACUGGUCUCACUUUAACAUUUUUCUUCUCUUUUGAGCACUUGGGACUUUAGAUCAAAACAUCGAGAGUUGUCUGGUCUGGGAGAGUGGUAAAUACUAAGUAUCCCAGGCCUCCUUAGAUGAAAAUAUUCAAUGCAAAACCUUUGCUUAUAAUGGAUAGGAUGUCUCAAAAUACAUCUUUCAUCAAUAUCUUGACUCUCCAUUUACAAAACACAUAUUCCACAUGUAUAGAAUCAUCAGAUCACAUGUGAAUAUCAUACAUUUUGCUCUAAGAGAUUUUUAAACCAUGUAUUAAGAAAAUACAAUUUUAAAUAUAUGCAUCCUGUAUCAUGUACAUGUGACAAACUAUGGUAGGAAUCUCUUAGAUUUGCAACUAUCUUUUACCAUUUUCUUCAAUUUGGCUCAUUUGGACCCUUCAUCAUACAACUAUAAAAACAAGAUGAUAUUGUCACUGGUGCUAUGUAACUGGCAUCUCACUGGGCCAGGGAGAGCGCAUCUCAAGGUGUGGCGUAAGCGAGGGAUGUUUAUGGAGUACUAAUGACCUUGGGCAUUGAAGCUGAGAGACGGAACAAAUUCAUGGGGUUCCACUGUCUUUAGCAGUUACAACGCAAGGGGGAAAUGAUGAGUCAGCUAGAGCAUGCUCUGAGAAUUGAGCCCUGCAUGGGGAGACAGCAGAACCACCCGGGAGUGGAGAGCCACCUGCCUGUUUCUAGGAGUGGGGAUGAGAAUGACCAACAUGGACGGCCCUGCAUUGCCCUUGAGAUAUGGGACCUGCUGUUCAGAGAGGCACUUCCCAUGGGUGGUUUUCCCAUUAUGCAGUACAUCUCUCCUCAUCCUUCUUCAGGGAAAUUAUCUGUAAUGCGUUAGACCUGCUCUAUAAUUCAGGUGGUAAAUAACAGUGUUGCACGAGUUCAAAAGAGGCUUCAAAAAAGCCACUGGUGCUUAGAAAGAGGCCCUAUUAAAAAAUGUAGAAGCCGGUGCAUCUGCUCUCACCCUCCAACCAAGAUGAAGAUUUAUUCCAAAGACAGAAAGAGGCUUCGAUGGAAAUUUAUCAAAAUGAAAUCAUUAGACAUACGCUGGGCUUUGAGCCUGUUGUCAUUCACGGUCACUCUGGGCACGAGUGAUUGACUAUUCAGUGCAGAAGAAUAAAACCUCACCGUCCCAACACCACCAAGAUCUCUGUGUAACUGAGGUUGGCUGCCCCAGUCCUGAUUAUUUAGAGCAACUUGAAGAGGAGCUUGGAGCUGGCAAAGGCUUGUGGGUGGGUAUAUUUAAACCUCACCUCAGCCCUGGAAGUUAGUGAAAUACUUGUUCUCAUUUUACAGAUGAGCAAGUGGCUCAGAGUGCCCAGGUGAUUUGGCCAACAUAACAUAGCAUCCGUGUUGGGAUCCAUACCGUGACCUUGGAUCCAGGUCUCUGUCUGUGCUUACUAUAGGGUAGAAAGUUUGACCCCCUCAGAGGCUUCCUCCGAGGUCCUUUGACAUCUCCUCCUGCAAGCUUCCGUCACGUGAUUCACAUGUCUUUCUCGCCCAGCUUCUAGAUGGUACGUUCCACGACUGCUGGGCUUUGGCCAGUGUGGGUCAUUGUGUGAGGUCCAGGGAGAACCUGGCCCACAGAAUGUGCCCUAAGAAUGUUCACUGGAUCCAUGAAGAACAGGAGGAAGGGCCUUCAGUGAACCCAGAAGAUGGACCUGGCUCCCAUUAAAUCACCUCGUAGUGGGCAGGGGGUCCCUCCCCUUCUCAGGCCCCUCUCCCCCAUCUCACCCCGUCUCCUCCAGGCCCUGCCCCCUCCAGGUUCCUGCUCCCUCUUGAGUGCACAGGAGGAGGCCCCACCGCUCGGACCUCAGAGCAAGGCCCCCAGAGCACUCUGCUGCCUCCCGGGCACUGGACGCCUCUCCAGACUCAGCCUCCUCCGUGGCCAUUGCCCGUCACCUCCUGUCUCUCUUCUGUUGUCUCCAAGACCACGUUCCAUAAAGAAAUGUUCCAUAAAGCACAAGAGAAGAGAGCUCUAAGGGCCUCAGUUUUAUACUCACAGACGCAGCUACACCAGGCUGCAAGGCGGGGACUGAGGGUUUCAGGAGUGAAGUGUCCCCAGAAAAGGGACAUUCAGUGUCUUUGAUAGCUACCCAUAGUAAGCAAACCACUUGCCAUUGAGAUCUAGCACAGCUCUCCUCUGUCUCUCUCACCGUCUCUGACACACACACACUUGUAUUUCUGAAACAAACAUUGAUGAAACAAUAGCGGUCGAUAUCUGCAGGGUUGCCUUCUGGCAUUUUCUGUUCUAUUCUAUGUGAGUUUUUAAAACAUCAGUCAAGCCCAGUAUAAGGGUGAACACCUGUAUUCCAGCUACUUGGGAGGCUCAGUCAGGAGGAUCCCAAGUUGGAGGCCAGCCUGGGCCAACAGUGAGACUCCACCUACCUACAUAAAUGGAUAGAUAGGGUAGUAUCUUCCUUGCAUACCUCCUCCUCCAGGACACAGCCGGCAGCAGAAUCCCAGGCCUCACACAAGCCCCCAAGCUAGAGUAUCACCCAUGCUUCCCCAGCCCACCGUGUGGGUGUGGAACACCAUGUCGUCGUAGGCUGGCACUUCCCUGCUUGGUGAACACAGGACGGUUGACUAAACAGCGGUGUGUAAGGGAGGAUGGACUGUGUUGCCCUGCAUGCUAUUGGUGUCUUCAGUAGGAGAAUUGAAACUGAUGACCGUAGCAGGAAAAAGGUUGAACAUAGUCCCUACUCUUUCCCCAUCGAAGAAGUUUCCGAGGCCUGCACUCUGGUGAGCACAGAAACUGACUUGUCUGCAAAGUGAGUUUACAGAGUGUCCCCCACACCUGUGGACCCCAGCCCUCAAUCCAGCUACCACAAGAUACAGCACUUUGUAACUAAAUGUCAAUCCCUGAAAGGUGUAUCCUCUGCCCAAACAGGGUUAUGCCCACUGAAGGGGUGCCCCAGAGCAGGGCAGCCCAUGACAGUGUGCAGGUUUUAGAUCAGACUGUAGCACAAGGGGCUCUCAAUGGCUGGAGCAGAGCUUAUAAGGAUGUGGGGCGAGGGCCCUCCUGAUUCCAGACCCACCACGUCAUCGUCAUGGGCUGGCUCGGCAGUCCUUACAGGCACAGGUGAAGGGAGGGCGACAGGUGUUGUGACUCUCAGGAUGCAAAUAUGGAACCUGAGCUCAGAGGGCUGGUCCACCCAGACAAAGCAGCUCUGCUUCCCAUGUCCACUUGCAAGAGGGGCUCCGGCCCCAGGGCUGCGGUUCCGGGACGUCAACUCCCCACAGUGUGUACUACCAAAGGGCCAGAAGUAACGUAGGGUCCUUUGGAAGAGAAAAAGUUGGACAGAUCUCCUAUGUCCACCUGUGAAAGAUCAUGCAGUUAUCUGAAAUAAGAACUUAACAUCUAUAGAUACUCAGAAAAGCAAGUUGGAGAAAAAUUGUAUUGCAUCAUCCCAUUUUUUUAUUUAAAAUAAAGGAAGAUAUGCAUUUAGGUAAAAUUACUUGCAGGUGUCCACAGGAGGUUGGCAAAAGAUAGAGAUGGAUAGAUACUAAAUUAUUAAUAUUGCUUAUUUGAUGACAGAUGUGCUACAGCAAUAGUCAAGAGAGAUAGAAGGAUAGAUAAUUGGAUUUUUUCAUUAUAGGAUUUCAUUUGUUUCCAAAAACAAUAUCUUGCCAUUUAAAAGUUAUGAAAAUAUUGAAACAACACUAGAAAAUUAUUUUUUUUCUUCUAGUUCUGUUUUAAGUGCAGUGAUCCUCCCAAGGUCACCUCAGUUGGGAGACUGGUGCACAUUUUGACCCCAGGGUAUGUCAUUGCAGAGACGCCACCAGCGUCUCUUCUGCAUCAAGCAUGUGUAUGAUUUUGCAUCCAGAAAACUAGUGUUGGGUGAACACACAUAGCAAAGAACAGAAUAAUGACAUGCAAAAAUACAUGGCCCAAAGUAUUGUUGCUUCCUCAGUGUUUAAUGCAAAUUUAAACAUGUGAAUCAAAGACUGCAAUGUUGAGGAACACAGUGCCGGUGGUAUUUGGCAAUAAAAUAAUAAUCACCGUGUGUAUCUCUGAUGAAAUGAGAUUUAAUCCAUUUGUGUUCCUAAUUGUCUGCCACACUACAUUAGAGAUGGAUACCUCUAUUGUCUCCACCACUUGGAAAUAUGAAAUUCAAAGCAAUAUGCCCAAUGUCUCGAAAUAAGCUGGCUUAAUGAACCAGCAAAUUAGACCUUUCUAUCUCUUUAUUUAACAUCCAGUUCCAUGAAUGUAUCUGAGUUCAUUACAAAGGUACAAAAUUUAAAGAAAUGUGGCUAAAUUCAUUUGUGAUUAGAACGAAUGACUUUGAAAAGGAUUUUUAGAGAGAGCCUAUUAUUUAUUAUUGAAUUUAUAUGAAGUGGGGUGAUAAACGUUUAUCUUUUUUCAAUUCUGUUUUAUAGUUUGGCUUUUGUAAUGCAGUCACCAAAAAAGAAAAAAAAAUCAUCGCAAGUAAAGAAAUCAACUCCUCCCCCCCAACAAUGACAGUCAGAAAAAACAUUGGCAAAUAUUCCUUUGUGACCUGCUGUCAAUGGUUCUGAAUGGGAGGGGGAGGACUUUGGUUAGCCCUAGAGGUCAUAUGGCAAGGGCACACUCACUCCUGGGGCAGUGGGUACUGCUUAUAUCCCGUGGUGCAGACCAGGGAUGCUGAUAGACCCCCUGCAAUGCCCAGCACAGCCCUGAAGCACAGGGUCAUCAGGCCUGUAGGGUCCAUGGGACUGGACCCGGAAACCUGAGCUCAGGGAACGUGUCUCAUUCAAAGAAUGUUCCGCCUCCUUCAGUGUCUUCUAAAAUGAAAUUGUUUUCCACCUUGUCACAGAGGCUGAGAGCAAGGCCAACUAAAGCAUGGAUCUGGUUCAAAUUACUUUUUUUCCCCCAAUAAUUACAGUAAUGAUGACUUUAGCAUCUGCAAUAAAGAUGAUAGAUCUCAGUGCCACAGUGCAUCCCUUGAAUCUGGAUUAGGGAAGUGACUUUAAUUGGCCCGAACAUUUGUAUUAUCUUCAAAAGAGAGAUCUUUCCCAUUGUAAACCCAAAGCAUCUGAUGAUCUAACAGGCUUCAAAACAUUGGCAUAUUGGCUCAAGGUGUUUCAAAGAAAUCUAUUUGGUUUUCUGAUGCAGAUGAGAGAAGUCAGUAAUCAGAGGGUUUCUGAGUCCAAGGCUGAAGUAGAAAUUAGUGGAAUUGCUGGUUCACUUGAGCCUGCAUCUGCUUGGGACUUAUGGUCUACAGUCACCUCAAGGUAGAAAUUCCACACUUUCCACGGAGGUCUAUGCGAGGAAUCUAGUUAAUCUGAUAGAAUUCAACCCAUGGUAACAAAUGAUCACACUUUUUGUAGGCCUUAUUUAUUUAAGGAAAAGCUCAUCAACAUGAGGUAUCAUAAAGAAGAAGAAGAAAAGAAUACGGAAAUCAUCCUCAUCCAAAAGAAAAUAACCAGCACCUGGAACUUCCUGUUGUGGUGUAGCUCUCUGAGUACCCACCGGCCAGCCUUCUCCAUCUCUCCGGCCCCAGCCCCUCUGACCACCUGCCCUCAGCUUGUAUGAGAUCAACCCCCGUGUUCCACACGCACCACGUAGCAUUUGUCUGUCUGCCCUGGGCUUACUUCACUUGCCGUGAUCUCCAGUUCCAUAUAUGCCGUUCCAAAUGACAGGACAUCAUAAAACGGCCAAGUCAUAGUCCACUGUGGGCAUGUGACACAUUUUAAAAUCUCUGUCCAUCCGGCGAUGGGCUCUUCGACGAUCCAGCCUGACUUCUUCGAAUAAGGAACUGCUUAGUGAAUGGAGCUCACCCGACAGUUCACCAGGGGCCAUCCCCAGUGUCCUCUGUGCAGAACGGCUUCUAAAAUAACGUGGGUUCAAAAGCUUCCAAGGAAUAUUUUUACAGUCUGUUCCACUGGAUGAUAGAGGGAAAGGGGCCUCAGCUGGUGAUGUGUCUCCUUAAUCAUCAGCAAUAACACUUGAAAUUGAUACGGUGCCUCCAACUUUGCAGAGCACGGCCGGCUCAUUUCUCAGCUGAUGUACUUGGUGUCUUGUGCUAUGAUUUCCAACCGACUGUCCAGAACAACCGGCAGGCGUGUUUUAAAGAAGGGAGUGCUGAGCGGUGCUAGGAAGGGCUCUGGGUGGUGAUGAUGAGAUCCACGGAAAAUUUUAGUAUCCAAGAUACUAUUUAAUCUGCCUGGUGGUAUAUGAAGGAAGAACACGAUGGAUAACGUGAAUUUUUAAAAAUUUGUGUCCGAGUAUAAAAAUGAAGACUAAAGCCCAGUAGGAAUGACCCGGGAACCUUGCUGUGCACCUCCCUGUGAACCUGGGUAAUUGAGAACUCACUAAAAUCCUUCUAGAAAACACGGAAAGGGGGUUGAGAACUAGCAGAGGGCUUUACUUGGCCUUUGAAAGUUCCACGCCAUGUCUGGCUAAAGAAGCAUCUUUCUUUGGAUUAUAAAAAGAAAAAAAAAAUUUUUCUCCUCCUCCUCAUAAGAAACCAAUAGCUGUGUCGGCAAACCCUUCCACUAUAAAACUUGCUAAAUAGUGUUUAAAGCAGCAGGAGAGCAUUUGUCUCCCCACUCUCUGUGGCUGUUUGGAAUUGUGUGAGUUAAGAUCAUAUGGCACAUUUUACCAUUAUGUGACAAAGGAAGGCCCAAACUCUUACAAUAUAUGAGACUCUGAGCCUAUAUUUAGAUAUUUCACUAUGUAAAAAGGCAAGUUUGCAAGAUGAAAUUAAUGGGGUGGGGGGAUGUGCUUAGGCAAUUCUGGAAGGUCAAUCAGAGAAGUCGGGCCAUUCCGUGCGGCAUUCCCAGCCAGGUCAGAGACUUGGAGGUGCCUUUGUCAGUGAAAGACCCACUCGGACGUAAAACAUCCACUGAGUCCUAUGCUCACGUUAGAAAAGAGAAGGACGGUGCUGGAACCGCGAGCUGCCCCGUCAGGGUACCAUCCUGCAGCCCUGGUUCUGAUCAGUACAGAGGAUCCUGUCUGGACUCACUCAAAGGUCGCCAUUUGUUUUUCUCGGUGGGUUGCAUUUCCACGGUUCCAGCCACUCCUGGUUCAAUCUGUUGACGCACAGACCCUCGCACCAGAUCAGAAGUCUGUUCUUUUUCCAUCUGCUCAGCAGAAUUACUGUUGUCGCAGCCCGGCGCCCCGAGAAUGACAUGUCUGUGCCUCUCUCCUCCGUGUCUCCAGUCUGCCAUAGCAGCGACACGGCACUGCCCAGCUCCAGAAGCCACACGCACACGGUAGUCUUAACGACACGCUGUGAACCUGCCCGUAAGUGGUGCCCAGGGAGGGAUACGCAUCCUCUGGAAUUAGCUUGAGCCGUGGAGCUCAGUGCAUGCAGCAGUGCCGCCCAGGAGUGUGCGAGUGUUUGUCCACGCUGGGCUCUCCCCCUCCACCUUUAUGAGGCCACCUCUACCUCGACCCUGGCCCUGCAGGGCCUCCCCAUCCACGCAUUCGAUGGGAUCCAUCAGAUUGGACAUUCUGAAUGGCCCAGCAUGGGUCCCCUGCCUGCUUCCUGGUCCAGCCAGCUGUGGCUACAGAAGUGGUUUUGUGUAAGACACUCUGGGAAGCGUGCACCUGGGAGCAGGUGGAGAGCUGGAUCCCCCAGGGGUUCUGAGACUCCUAAACACCUGCUCUUCCUAACAGUGGCCCUGCCUUCAUGCAGGACGUCUCAUUAUUCAUUUUUAAAUCUGUCAAUUUUCCUCCCCGAGAACAAACUCCAGCUUCCUGAUCCCUUAGAGUCAGGUGUGGCCCUGUGACUCCCCUCAGCCAGUGGGGAGCUGGGGACAGCUGUCACCUGUGAGCGGAAGUUGUGGGAGCUCUUGAACUCUUGCCCUUUGUUCCUUUCUUCUGGCAAAAGGAAGAGAUGCUAGUGCUCACUGCCAUUGUCAAUGCGGUGUCAUCGAGGUUUGUCAUUUCGUAUGACACCUUCUCCUACUCUGUGGUUAUGCCGUGGCGACUCUUGAUUCCACGGUGUUCUUAUAAAGAGUGUUGAUGCUUCUGUCUUAGUAGGUGGUUCACUUGGGCCAGCUCAGGCUGAGAGCGAGGCCAGCAGCCCACAUCUCCCCCUUCUCCUGCCUUCCUUGCAAGCUGCCAGCUCUGCUCACGUGAGCGCCGUCCAGGAGUCUGAUGGCCCUCUGAUCUGGCUGUCUCCUCUCUGGGACUCUUGUCACUUUCUAGCAGCACUGGUUGUCUUGAUGGGUCAGGCCAGAAAGGUGGCCGCUGUUUCGUGGAAUUUCAGUCCAUCCAUACUGUGACCUGGAGCUGUUCUCUGCAGAAGGGCAGUCUAGUAGGACCUACAGAGCCACAGUGGAGAGGGAGCAGACUCUGUCCAGGCUGAGGGCCCACAAGGAGGGCUUGAAGUAGACUUCUGGGUAGAAAGCCAUUGAGGCAUAUUUGUCUCUUCACUAUAACUUACACUCAUACUGACUGAUCAGCCCACUAGAACAAUCCAGAAUGUUACUGUUUAAUCAUUUCCCACUAUGCUUAUGAAACCUGCUCAAGGACUAACAAAUUUCCACAAAUCUUUUUGAUUCUAUGAGAUUUGCUUUUCCUACUUUGCCUGUUCAGAUCCUGCACAUGGUAUUCUUUCCUUCUCCAUUUUCUCUGCAAUCAUAAAAAAGGUAAUAUUUCUUAAAUUUGAAACAUAUUCUUGAUUCCGUGGUGCAUGUUCCUGCACAAGGAAACAAAUCAGAGGAUAGACUUGGUGUGCAUGUGCCUUGGGUAAGUCAUUUCUUGCUGUCCACACAGUCCCCACAUCUCGAAAUGAAAAAAUCUUAUGCGUCAUAGCUCAGAUGUUUCUUUCUCCUUUAAAAUUAAAAUUAGUCCAUGAUUCAUCGAAAAAUUUUUGUGUCACUCUGGAACCCUAAAUGAUGAUUCAAUUUACAAAAAUGUGAUUUAUAUGCAAAUUUGAGGGAAAUGGGUCCCUGGAUAGGGUCAUGGUGUGUUUUCCCUUCCAAAGAUCCUGUUGAAGAAUAUAAUUAAAGUAAAAAAAAAAUUGAUAUAAUCUCAUGUAUAUUUUAAAUUCUAAAAGUAAUUGCACUAUCAUGGCUUCAAGGUCAGGCUAUCUUCUAAAAGUGCUCAUUACCAGGUUCUUAGCCUUCUUUCAAAACCAACACGGGCCCAGUCUAAGAACAUGUCAAGAAAGGUCAGUAGAUGCCGAGGUAAAUCAAUUUGCAUAGGCGGCAAAAAUGAGGGGAGUUGUUCCCACGGCUUCUAAUAAAAGCAUAGAGAUAUGUAAAACAUGAGAGCUCGUUUGCAGAGGCAAACACAAUACAGUGAUCUAUAAAUACUUCAUAAUCCCAGCCCCACGAGCGCUCAUUGUUUGGUGGUUCUCUCUAUUAUGAGUAAUCAUGGGUUGCUUUCUGUUUGCUUCUGGCUUUUCCUGCUCAUCGUCUCUGGAACGGCACCCACUCAGUUCUUCCUUGUUCACCUCCUCCUGGUGCGUGGAGGGUCCACGCAGUCGUCGGACAAGAACUCAGAUGCAUGCAGAGCUGAACGUUGAACACACAGGGUGCCUCUCUAGAGUCGAAGCACAUGGUCCAGGAGACCUGGAAACCAGAGCCCUACAGGAGACAGGACCACCUAGGCAACGUCCAGGAAGACCGUGCAUCCCACAGCACUCAGCCAGCAAGGAGCCAGGUGAGCUAACUUGCUGCUCAUCACGCCCUGGGAGUCCCUGGCCACUAGUCACCUGGUCUCACAGAUGUCAUGAAAGCCUCGCUUUCCCUGUACCUUGGUCUCUCAGUCCAUUCUUCCGGUUGGGACAGAGUCUCUGUAUGAUUCUGGUGUAAGGAGCACUGAACUAGGAAGAAUGGGAAGGCGGCAGCAAAGUUACCAUUUGUAACAGUAUCUACUAAGAUCAUUCCAGCUGGCUCAGGAGGACCUUCCUCCUCAGGGUACUGUGCUGCUCAGAAGAUUCUGGUUCUCUUCACAAACCUGAGAAACCUGCAGAUCUGCCUGGCCUGUCUCCUUCAAGACAGGCUGUCACAUGACCUGUGUGGGUCACUGGGGAGAAAACAGAGGCUGAAAGAGGUCAAGGGGCUUGCCCAGUGGUCACAGAGAUUUCCUGUCCAGGUCCACCUGACUCAUGAGUACAUACCCUGCUGGAUCACGCCUUCAGUUCAUCAAAGCCUCAGCCACCGUGGGGAUGC
This is a non-coding RNA of Ictidomys tridecemlineatus (thirteen-lined ground squirrel), 11895 nucleotides long. NCBI's taxonomy places the organism in Eukaryota, Metazoa, Chordata, Mammalia, Rodentia, Sciuridae. The record is from RefSeq and is a predicted model, not a curated record.